GGGGGCCCGCACAAGCGGUGGAGCAUGUGGUUUAAUUNGNNGCAACGNGAAGAACCUUACCUACUCUUGACAUCCAGAGAAUCUAGCGGAGACGCUGGAGUGCCUUCGGGAGCUCUGAGACAGGUGCUGCAUGGCNGUCNUCAGCUCGUGUUGUGAAAUGUUGGGUUAAGUCCCGCAACGAGCGCAACCCUUAUCCUUGUUUGCCAGCACGUAAUGGUGGGAACUCCAUGGAGGCUGCCGGUGAUAAACCGGAGGAAGGUGGGGACGACNUCAAGUCAUCAUGGCCCUUACGAGUAGGGCUACACACGUGCUACAAUGGCGUAUACAGAGGGCAGCGAUACCGCGAGGUGGAGCGAAUCUCACAAAGUACGUCGUAGUCCGGAUUGGAGUCUGCAACUNGACUCCAUGAAGUCGGAAUCGCUAGUAAUCGCAAAUCAGAANGNNGCGGUGAAUACGUUCCCGCGCCUUGUACACACCGCCCGUCAUCUUGCUGAAAA
This 497-nucleotide ribosomal RNA is filed under the name uncultured Vibrio sp. RNAcentral describes it as "partial 16S ribosomal RNA". It matches the Rfam family "Bacterial small subunit ribosomal RNA", at positions 915 to 1411 of the family's 1533-position model. The record is from RNAcentral. Lineage: Bacteria; Pseudomonadati; Pseudomonadota; Gammaproteobacteria; Vibrionales; Vibrionaceae.